Chiloscyllium plagiosum (whitespotted bambooshark) is the source of this 82-nucleotide non-coding RNA. The record is from RefSeq and is a predicted model, not a curated record. Lineage: Eukaryota; Metazoa; Chordata; Chondrichthyes; Orectolobiformes; Hemiscylliidae.
UCAAACAAGUGAACAAUGAAGUGCAACGGGUGGACCGGCUCCAGGGAAACCUGCUCCUACACACACUAACCCUACACCCUUG